UGAAUGGCAUUGAUGAACAGUCAAGGA
This 27-nucleotide small RNA is filed under the name Bombyx mori (domestic silkworm). Its description in RNAcentral is "ovarian small RNA-31180". Lineage: Eukaryota; Metazoa; Arthropoda; Insecta; Lepidoptera; Bombycidae. The record is from RNAcentral.